GACGAACGCUGGCGGCGUGCUUAACACAUGCAAGUCGAACGGAAAGGCCCUGCUUUUGUGGGGUGCUCGAGUGGCGAACGGGUGAGUAACACGUGAGUAACCUGCCCUUGACUUUGGGAUAACUUCAGGAAACUGGGGCUAAUACCGGAUAGGAGCUCCUGCUGCAUGGUGGGGGUUGGAAAGUUUCGGCGGUUGGGGAUGGACUCGCGGCUUAUCAGCUUGUUGGUGGGGUAGUGGCUUACCAAGGCUUUGACGGGUAGCCGGCCUGCGAGGGUGACCGGCCACAUUGGGACUGAGAUACGGCGCAGACUCCUACGGGAGGCAGCAGUGGGGAAUAUUGCACAAUGGGCGGAAGCCUGAUGCAGCAACGCCGCGUGCGGGAUGACGGCCUUCGGGUUGUAAACCGCUUUCGCCUGUGACGAAGCGUGAGUGACGGUAAUGGGUAAAGAAGCACCGGCUAACUACGUG
RNAcentral lists this ribosomal RNA (468 nucleotides) under uncultured bacterium. RNAcentral's name for it is "partial 16S ribosomal RNA". It matches the Rfam family "Bacterial small subunit ribosomal RNA", at positions 28 to 507 of the family's 1533-position model. The record is from RNAcentral.